Molecule: ribosomal RNA, 253 nt
Filed under: uncultured bacterium
Lineage: Bacteria
Description: partial 16S ribosomal RNA
Rfam family: Bacterial small subunit ribosomal RNA
Source: RNAcentral
UACGUAGGGGGCAAGCGUUGUCCGGAUUUAUUGGGCGUAAAGAGCGUGUAGGCGGCUAGAUAGGUCCGUUGUGAAAACUCGAGGCUCAACCUCGAGACGUCGAUGGAAACCAUCUGGCUAGAGUCCGGAAGAGGAGAGUGGAAUUCCUGGUGUAGCGGUGAAAUGCGCAGAUAUCAGGAAGAACACCCGUGGCGAAGGCGGCUCUCUGGACCACAACUGACGCUGAGGCGCGAAAGCUAGGGGAGCAAACAGG